ACCUUUUUUGGGCCUUUUGGUUAAGAUCUAGUGUUUGUUCUUAUCAGUUUAAUAUUUGAUAUGUGGGCCAAUGGCACACAAGAUAUUAAAUUUAUUUUUUUAGGGGAACGAUCCAUCAUAGUAGUUUGUUGCUGGGGUCCUUGCACGUCGCCUAGCUGUUGCACCAUUACCUUGGCCGCGCCCCAUCC
Molecule: small nuclear RNA, 188 nt
Organism: Cornus florida
Lineage: Eukaryota; Viridiplantae; Streptophyta; Magnoliopsida; Cornales; Cornaceae
Product: U2 spliceosomal RNA
Exons: 1
Source: RefSeq, a predicted model, not a curated record